RNAcentral lists this ribosomal RNA (524 nucleotides) under uncultured bacterium. Its description in RNAcentral is "partial 16S ribosomal RNA". It matches the Rfam family "Bacterial small subunit ribosomal RNA", at positions 28 to 523 of the family's 1533-position model. The record is from RNAcentral.
GACGAACGCUGGCGGCGUGCCUAAUACAUGCAAGUCGAGCGCAGGAAACUGACGGAACUCUUCAGAGGGAAGGCAGCGGAAUGAGCGGCGGACGGGUGAGUAACACGUAAGGAACCUGCCUCAAGGAUUGGGAUAACUCCGAGAAAUCGGAGCUAAUACCGGAUAGUUCAUCGGACCGCAUGGUCCGUUGAUGAAAGGCGCUCCGGCGUCACCUUGAGAUGGCCUUGCGGUGCAUUAGCUAGUUAGUGGGGUAACGGCCCACCAAGGCGACGAUGCAUAGCCGACCUGAGAGGGUGAUCGGCCACACUGGGACUGAGACACGGCCCAGACUCCUACGGGAGGCAGCAGUAGGGAAUCUUCCACAAUGGACGAAAGUCUGAUGGAGCAACGCCGCGUGGGUGAUGAAGGUUUUCGGAUCGUAAAACUCUGUUGUAAGGGAAGAACACGUACGAGAGGGAAUGCUCGUACCUUGACGGUACCUUACGAGAAAGCCACGGCUAACUACGUGCCAGCAGCCGCAGUAA